AUGUCAUCAUCAAAUGUUUUAAGGGAUGACUACAGAAGUUCCUCCACUAUCUACCAUAUAUCUUAUAAACUACUUCUUAUAAACUUAGAGAAACAAGCUGUCCUUGCUUGUGGAGGGGAACUGGCAGGACAGCUCGGGACUGUUGCCAAAGGAGAACAAGUAGGAGGAGGUGGGCAAGGUUUCAGUGCAGUACUGCAGAUCGGAAGUCAUAUCACUGAAACUCUGACUGCCUUUCUGAAGAUCUUCCACUGUAGUUCCAGAAUUGUUACUAGAAGCAUGAUGAUGCAGCAGGACACAGCAGAUGCACUCUCUAAUGACUUGAUGGGACAUCCUUCCUUUCUGCAUGAUCGAAGAUAUAGUUCUUUAUGACCCAGGGAGAAGGCGAACAAGGGGAAGAAUUGCGGGAAUGGUUGAAUAUUUGUUGCUAUUAGGAACUCACAGCAGCAACUCCUUUCCUGCAUGUUAAUGAACUGACUAGCAACUCAUACUGCAAUAGCACAGAGGGCAAUCUCUGGAGUGGGCUCUGCAGUCAGGUUGCUUGGAGUCCCA
Molecule: long non-coding RNA, 549 nt
Filed under: Chrysemys picta bellii (western painted turtle)
Lineage: Eukaryota; Metazoa; Chordata; Testudines; Emydidae
Description: lncRNA (ENSCPBG00000010413.1)
Source: RNAcentral